Molecule: long non-coding RNA, 884 nt
Filed under: Vigna radiata
Lineage: Eukaryota; Viridiplantae; Streptophyta; Magnoliopsida; Fabales; Fabaceae
Description: long non-coding RNA (VRAD_LNC002436)
Source: RNAcentral
AUAACCACUAUAAAAAUUUAUAUUAACUAGUGAAAUCAGUGAAAAAAAAAAAUUUAUUUAUUAAAAAAACGGUGAGCUAAUUAAAUAUCAAGUAAAAUAACAAUGGCUUCGGUCCCAAGAUAGCUAAGGCAUAAAACCUUAUUUGAACGACUAAAACAACGUUGUAAAUGAACAAUGGACAGACAUGGCUCGACAGAUUCGUGGGUUUCUUUUCAAAAUGGAGGAGGUGGCAUGCCUUGGCCUGGGCCGUGUCGGCCGGAGAAACAAUCUCGGAAUAAGCAACAACAGCACAGGCAGUAGAAGCUGCAUUUCCCAGUCAUCAUGAAUUAAAAUUUAGAAUUAGAAACUAACUACAGCAUAUAAAAAUCAUUAUUGAUUAAUUGAUAAACACUUUCAUCAUUUUAUGCACCGGUUUUUUUCUCUAAAUAAUAAUACUUACCAUGAAGAUAAAAGACCGCAUAUACCAUCUGCACACCCACCAAAAAACCCGCCAGGCCCAAAGAAACCAGGUCCUCCAGGACCCCAACCAGGUCCCCCAGGCCCAGGACCCCAACCAGGUCCCCCAGGCCCAGGUCCCCAACCAGGUCCCCCAGGCCCAGGACCCCAACCCGGUCCCCCAGGUCCAGGACUCCCUGGUCCGCCAGGUCCCAUGUUAACUGGCUUCCUUUUUACAAUACCACAGUUUGCAGAGGCACAGAGAAACAACUUUCGCACCGCAACGAAGGCAACGAAAACUAAAAUUUGAGACGAAAUCUAUGGCUCCUGUCCUAUGGUUGUGAAGAAAUAGGUGGCUCCUAUUUAGAGGAAGUAACAUUCAGCAACUUUCCUUCUUAUCGAAGCGAAAGAAGUGCAUGUUUUACUAAUCAACAUGAUCUUGCCAACAA